RNA transcript from Daucus carota subsp. sativus, 1216 nucleotides. It is a transcript of the gene named very-long-chain aldehyde decarbonylase GL1-6, with no coding region annotated. NCBI's taxonomy places the organism in Eukaryota, Viridiplantae, Streptophyta, Magnoliopsida, Apiales, Apiaceae. The record is from RefSeq and is a predicted model, not a curated record. The transcript has 4 exons.
CGUUCUACACUAUAAUCACUUUUGACCCUUUUCACUCUCUCACUUCCCAUUUCACUCUCUCUUUCUUCGUCUUCGGUCUUCGUCUUCUCCGCUGAUAUUAUGAACCCUAAUUCCGCCCCCAAAUUUUCCGUUUACUUCCCCCGCUUAUCAUCAAUCAAAUAGAUGUAAUUGUAAUGGAAAAUAGCAAUCACAAAUCAGCCCCAACCUGUGGUUUUGAUUCCGAAACCAUAUCGUCUUCAUCGUUACUGAUCCCCGGAACAGAUUUGUCUAUAUAUAUAAUCGAAAAUUACCUGGAUUUGUUUGAAGUUGUGGAGGACACGCCGGAAAAAGUGAGACAAGACGAAUUACAACGAAGCUUGAGCGAUAUCAGGGCCGCGAAGAGGUUGAAAUUUGAUGACCCAACUGGCCUCUUACAUAUUUUUCUUCCUCGAUUCUUUAAUUCAGGUAUAGGCCAGUCCUGAUGCAAGAGUCAGAGUUCUUGAUUAAUUUCGAAUGUCACUUUCAUUUCUCCUUUCCUUGGACACUCUGCUGGAGAUGAGAUGAACAAAAACGGUGAGCUAUUUAUCAAAAGGAAUCCCCAGCUAAAAUUGAAGUUAGUUGAUGGCAGUAGCCUAGCCGCUGCUGUUGUCCUCAAUAGCAUUCCAGAGGGAACAACCCAUGUUGCCAUUAAAGGAAAAUCGUCUAAGGUUUCCAAUUCUGUUGCCAUUGCAUUAUGUCACAGAGGCGUUCAGUGUCCUAACACGAUUUGGAAUUCCAACUCAUUAGGUAUCUAUUUCAAAUGAAAAUGCUUACAGAAUUCUAAAAGAGAAAUGUGAUUCUGAGAUUCAAGACAAUUUAAUCCUUUCAGAAAGUUACUCCCAAAAGGUGAUUUUUAAGUUACUCCCAAAAGUGUCAUUCACUUCAAGACAUGAAGAAUACAAGCAAAUACAGGUGGAACUACAAGACAUGAAGCUGGGGCAGUCGUUACAUGGGCUCCAACUUCAACAACGAAGAAUUCAAUCAAAUGCAGGUAGGACUAAAGGAAUUACAGGAGCUGAGAAAGCAAAUGGAAGAGAUGAAGAGCCAACUUGUUAUCGUGUUUAGUGAUAGGAAUGGAAUUUGAACAGUAGUGUGCCUGACUGCCUUUCAUAUUAUGUAUUAAGUUUGUGUGACUCCUGACUCAUGAAUUAUGACUCGGAUGCUACUUUUGCUUAUUAAUAUAUGCCAUUUUCCUGUA